Molecule: ribosomal RNA, 372 nt
Filed under: Salmonella enterica subsp. enterica serovar Typhimurium
Lineage: Bacteria; Pseudomonadati; Pseudomonadota; Gammaproteobacteria; Enterobacterales; Enterobacteriaceae
Description: partial 23S ribosomal RNA
Rfam family: Bacterial large subunit ribosomal RNA
Source: RNAcentral
GACCGAUAGUGAACCAGUACCGUGAGGGAAAGGCGAAAAGAACCCCGGCGAGGGGAGUGAAAAAGAACCUGAAACCGUGUACGUACAAGCAGUGGGAGCCCCACCACUAAGCCAGUGGUGAACUCCACAUCCGCAUCCUUUGCUGAGGAUACGGUUAACGGAGCGAAAGCGACGUUCAACCGCAAAACAAGCAGAGGGGGCUUAGUGGUGGGGUGACUGCGUACCUUUUGUAUAAUGGGUCAGCGACUUAUAUUCUGUAGCAAGGUUAACCGAAUAGGGGAGCCGGAGGGAAACCGAGUCUUAAUUGGGCGUUAAGUUGCAGGGUAUAGACCCGAAACCCGGUGAUCUAGCCAUGGGCAGGUUGAAGGUUGG